RNAcentral lists this long non-coding RNA (201 nucleotides) under Dermacentor andersoni. RNAcentral's name for it is "uncharacterized LOC126547200". Lineage: Eukaryota; Metazoa; Arthropoda; Arachnida; Ixodida; Ixodidae. The record is from RNAcentral.
AAGCUUUUUACGCGGUGCCGUGCAAACGGAGACCGGCCAGCUCCGAAAGGGACCAGGAUAUGCGAGGUGCGUUCGCCUUGUUUACAGAGUGGCUUUGAAUUCUGCCCCCAAGGCUCCAAGAACCAGCACUCAUCCCCUGCUGCCACCAGCCAUUGCUCAUCCAUUCCCUUGUACGAAAUAAAUUUGAUCUAGAAGCUCGUG